ACAAAACAUUUACAGUCACAUACGAACGUGUAGAAUGUUUAAUGGACUUAUAUAGAUAAUAAUAUUAUGUCCGUUUAGGUCGUGAUUGACGGUUUUCAAUACUGGGCUCACUUAACAACAACAACAACAAAAAGAAACUAUAUAACCUUGUAAAAGGGUAAACCGUAAAAAAAAAAUCAAAUAAAAGUAUAUCAGUGUGAACUGAUUUUAUAUGGAGAUAUAUUCGACCUUAUACGCUUUUUAACUGUAAUUCACCAAUACACAUGUUUAAAAUUAAAUUUACUUCCUUAUAAAAUGAAUGAAAAAAAAAAGAGAUGCAUUGGAAAAAUUAAGUUAAAAAUGUGUUUUAAAAAAAAUGUACGUAUAGGGUCAUAUAUUAAUGUACAUAAACUGAUUCGUUUUUUACAUAGGUCUUGUAAUAAUAGAUAAGUAAAUAAAUACUCUAAACUUAACUAAAAGUUAAUAAUAUUAAAGACAAUUGUACAUUUGUUGAUAGAAAAAAAUUGUAUUGUAUUUUUUUUUUUUUUCAUAUUAUUCUAAUAGAUAUUAAUAUAAAAUUGAUAAUGUAUAAUUUUUCAUCA
Molecule: non-coding RNA, 581 nt
Organism: Cinara cedri
Lineage: Eukaryota; Metazoa; Arthropoda; Insecta; Hemiptera; Aphididae
Source: the annotation of a GenBank genome assembly